Neofelis nebulosa (Clouded leopard) is the source of this 866-nucleotide long non-coding RNA. RefSeq lists it as uncharacterized. The transcript is spliced from 4 exons. The record is from RefSeq and is a predicted model, not a curated record. Lineage: Eukaryota; Metazoa; Chordata; Mammalia; Carnivora; Felidae.
CAUUCCUCAGGGGCCACAUCUUUUCAUUUGACGGAAAAAGCUGGACAUUGAGUUUUAAACUCUCUCUGAGAGAAGCAGAAACUGAGGCUCACUGUAAGCAGGCAAGAGAGACUGCCUUGGGAAGUUGAUUCUUCACCUGUACACAGAAUAUCUGUGCUUAUUUUCUGUGUUGCAAUGUUCUCCUAGGACGUACUUGGGGAUCCAUUGAUAAGAACACUGAAACACAGAAGGUUAAACAACUUCUCUAAUAUUCAGACCAUCUGUUUCUACUGCUCUGCUAAGCUGCUGUAUGAUAAGCCAUAGUCAUUCUGGUGUUAUCCUCCAAUGGUGAUGAGCCUGUAGGGCCUCACAUGACCUGAUUCCUGCCUACCACUUGAUUCCAUCAAGAACCACUCUCCACUUCCCAAGUGCCAGCAUAUAGUUUUCUUCCUCCUCAGAUAACAUCCCUGGCUGUUUCCUGCCUUAGGAUCCUUAUAAUACUGACUCAUUGUAGUACUUAUAGUCCGAACAACCCCCAAUUGAAUGUAAUUCUUAGCAUUUACACUAUUUGACAUUUUUUGCUUUGUAUAUUUAUUUAUUUAUUUUUUGUCUCUCUAGUACAUUGAAGCUUUAAGGGAGGAGGGACAUUGUCUGCUUGAUCAGUGUUAACUUUCUUGUUUGCAUUGUCUAGAAUACCACCCACACGUAGUAGGCACUGUCAAUAUCUGUUGAACAUGUGAAUGAAUCUGUAAAUGAAUACAUAAAAUUCACAGACUAGAUACAACCAUAUGAUCUCAUUUGUUCCUUAUGAAGAAAAAAUCCAUUAUUAUUCAUAUUCAGAGUUUGAGGCUUAAUAUGAACCCAGAAUUACUAAACAUUGUAGAUAA